RNAcentral lists this non-coding RNA (106 nucleotides) under Clostridium saccharobutylicum. RNAcentral's name for it is "TPP sequence". It matches the Rfam family "TPP riboswitch aptamer (THI element)". Rfam says of the family: Vitamin B(1) in its active form thiamin pyrophosphate (TPP) is an essential coenzyme that is synthesised by coupling of pyrimidine and thiazole moieties in bacteria. The previously detected thiamin-regulatory element, thi box was extended, resulting in a new, highly conserved RNA secondary structure, the THI element, which is widely distributed in eubacteria and also occurs in some archaea. Lineage: Bacteria; Bacillati; Bacillota; Clostridia; Eubacteriales; Clostridiaceae. RNAcentral also lists the same sequence under 1 other name. The record is from RNAcentral.
GAAUAAAAAACGGGGAGUUAGUUAAACUAUCUGAGAGGAAAUUUGUAAUUUCGACCCAUAACCUGAUUUGGAUAAUGCCAACGUAGGGAAAUAUAUUAUAAAGAAA